GUUUGUAUUACGUGAAAUUGUAGUCGUUACACUUUAACAUAGGAUAUUUUUAGUUCUUCAGCUAUAAAAUUGCGUUUCAUUUUGGCGUCUGAUUGUGGAUAAUGGAUUUUUUCCCUAUUGUUUCUUUAUAAUGGCUAGUGUUUAUUAGGUGUUUCUCUAGUUGCUAAUGAUUGUUGAAUUCUAUGGCGACGGGGAAUUUAGUUGGAAUGC
Molecule: unclassified non-coding RNA, 210 nt
Filed under: Hevea brasiliensis (rubber tree)
Lineage: Eukaryota; Viridiplantae; Streptophyta; Magnoliopsida; Malpighiales; Euphorbiaceae
Source: RNAcentral